UCCAUGCCGUAAACGAUGAGUGCUAGGUGUUGGAGGGUUUCCGCCCUUCAGUGCCGGAGCUAACGCAUUAAGCACUCCGCCUGGGGAGUACGACCGCAAGGUUGAAACUCAAAGGAAUUGACGGGGGCCCGCACAAGCGGUGGAGCAUGUGGUUUAAUUCGAAGCUACGCGAAGAACCUUACCAGGUCUUGACAUCUUGCGCUAACCUUAGAGAUAAGGCAUUCCCUUCGGGGACGCAAUGACAGGUGGUGCAUGGUCGUCGUCAGCUCGUGUCGUGAGAUGUUGGGUUAAGUCCCGCAACGAGCGCAACCCUUGUUACUAGUUGCCAGCAUUAAGUUGGGCACUCUAGUGAGACUGCCGGUGACAAACCGGAGGAAGGUGGGGACGACGUCAGAUCAUCAUGCCCCUUAUGACCUGGGCUACACACGUGCUACAAUGGACGGUACAACGAGUCGCAAGCUCGCGAGAGUAAGCUAAUCUCUUAAAGCCGUUCUCAGUUCGGACUGUAGGCUGCAACUCGCCUACACGAAGUCGGAAUCGCUAGUAAUCGCGGAUCAGCAUGCCGCGGUGAAUACGUUCCCGGGCCUUGUACACACCGCCCGUCACACCAUGGGAGUUUGUAACGCCCAAAGUCGGUGGCCUAACCUUUAUGGAGGGAGCCGCCUAAGGCGGGACAGAUGACUGGGGUGAAGUCGUAACAAGGUAGCCGUAGGAGAACCUGCGGUUGGAUCACCUC
RNAcentral lists this ribosomal RNA (736 nucleotides) under uncultured bacterium. RNAcentral's name for it is "bacterial SSU rRNA". It matches the Rfam family "Bacterial small subunit ribosomal RNA", at positions 794 to 1529 of the family's 1533-position model. The record is from RNAcentral.